This is a non-coding RNA of Trabulsiella guamensis ATCC 49490, 106 nucleotides long. The record is from Rfam. Lineage: Bacteria; Pseudomonadati; Pseudomonadota; Gammaproteobacteria; Enterobacterales; Enterobacteriaceae.
AUAAACAUUCUUUAUUGUGCUCUUUAUCACUUCAAACUGGCGCCAACUCUCAGUAUGAUGGCGAGAGGACAACCCUUGCCGCUGACGGUGAGGGUUUUCUUUUGGA